GCCGAGCUGAGUUACGUUAGCUUGUGACCCAAGUGGGGGCACCAAGGUGAUGGAACAGUUCUUUGGCUUUGCUGGGUUGGGCUGUGACCGCAAAAUGUUGGCCUGCCCGCUCCAAGUUGAGAAUUGAAUCAUGGGACUUGAGCGAAGGCAUAGGUCUCCUGGUUCUUAGAGUGGAGGGCACUGCGUGAGGCUGGUUUCACAGAACAGCGAACACCUCCCAUUCCCAACAGUGGAGGGAUAACAGGUUGCUGCAAUCACAGUCCAUCAUGGCCUGGUGAGCCUAGAAGCUUGGACCAUCAUUUUU
Non-coding RNA from Glycine soja, 304 nucleotides. Lineage: Eukaryota; Viridiplantae; Streptophyta; Magnoliopsida; Fabales; Fabaceae. The record is from Rfam.